Long non-coding RNA from Triticum aestivum (bread wheat), 549 nucleotides. RefSeq lists it as uncharacterized. The record is from RefSeq and is a predicted model, not a curated record. The transcript has 2 exons. Lineage: Eukaryota; Viridiplantae; Streptophyta; Magnoliopsida; Poales; Poaceae.
AACCAUGCCUUCUAGCCGGAGGACAACAGGGAGCGUUCCGGCAACUCGGCCAACACUGGCUCAUACUCUGUCGAUCCUCACUGGUAUGCGGACACCGGUGCGACGGACCAUCUGACGAGCGACCUCGAUCGUCUCUCGUUCCAGGAGCGUUACGGCGGCAAGGACCAGGUUCACGUCGCCAACGGUGCAGGACCGAGCAACGAAGAGGGUUCUUCUGCAAGGUAGAUGCCGUGGAGGUCUCUACCCGGUGCCAAGCCUCAAGUCCACUUCCUUUGUGUCCAGUCAUCGUGCUCUCUCUGGUGUCAAGCUCUCCAUCGAACAUUGGCAUCGAAGAUUAGGUCAUCCGUCCAAAGACGUCGUUGAGUCUGUUCUUAGAUCAAAUAAAUUUGCUUGUGCACCUUCCGAGUCUAGUGUUUGUGACGCAUGUCAACGUGCGAAAGUUCAUCAAUUACCUUUUCGAGAUUCAACUCAUGUAACUCAUACUCCUCUUGAACUUAUUCAUUCCGAUGUAUGGGGUCCUGCCAUUACCUCUGUCGGCGGGUUUAAGUA